UUUGCAUUAAAAGAUCGCAAGAGUUCGUCCAGUGUGUUGCCUAUAAAGACGUCACCCAAUUGUUAAUUUAUAUUCAUUUCAGAAUAUGUGUAACCAAAAACAGUGAAAUCGGUUCGUUCAUACCUGAAUUUGCAAUUUGUGGACUUUUUUUUGGAAUAGGCGUAACGUUUUUUUUGUCAACCGGAAAAUUUACUUCGGAAUAUUAUUUGCGUAUGGGUGUAACAUCAUUUGGUGGUAUUAUGACUUUUUCUGCACUGAUAUGGUCAGGACAGACCACCGAAACUAUGACAAGCGAAUUAGUAAAGGCCCUUAAUGAAGUAAGAUGGUACAAUUUCAAUCAAUCCAAUAAAAAACUGUACCUAACUUUGGUAAUGAACAUAAUGAAAGAACGCAAAAUUAAAUUUACUGAAAACUAUUCCAUGAAUUAUCGACUUGGGCUGGCUAUUGUAAGAAAUAUUUAUUCGGUCAUAUCAGUAGUUGUGUCAAAACGUCGUCACUAAUCAAGUGAAAAUUGAAAAGAAAAAAGUUGUGAGAAUGUAUCAAACCAAUGUCGAAAAAUAAAUGUUUGUUUUUUUUACACUCUUAUAACUCGAAAACUAUAACUACUGCACUACAUCUACAACUGCAGCACAGUUUCAGUACAAAAAUGAAUUACUUCCUAGACUGUCAACAUUAUUCUCAUCGUAGAUCGUAAGCUUUUACUAAAAAAAUUCGUUCCGAAUAUUUUCUUCAAAAAACGCUUAACGAGCUCGUUAAAAUCGAAUUAAAUACCUUAAUAGAAUAAACAUGAGUAAUGACUUAG
Molecule: RNA transcript, 802 nt
Organism: Tribolium castaneum (red flour beetle)
Lineage: Eukaryota; Metazoa; Arthropoda; Insecta; Coleoptera; Tenebrionidae
Exons: 4
Source: RefSeq, a predicted model, not a curated record